AAAUAGUUAUAUUAUGCUCAUGCUCCUAGAUGUAUGAAGUCUCGAAGGUAAACAAAUCUAUAUACGAUACUUUUUGUACGCUACAUUGUGAUCAUACAUGCAAGUGGUUUCUGCUAACAUAAAAUCUACGAAUUUGCUUCCAAAUUUCCAGUUUGCAAAAUGCCUUUCAAUUUUGGGGUACUGGGUCGAUCAGUUGCAUGCCAAAUUGAUCACUGUUGUUGAUAUUGAAAUGCCAUUAAUGGAA
RNAcentral lists this long non-coding RNA (244 nucleotides) under Populus tremula. RNAcentral's name for it is "long non-coding RNA (PTRE_LNC000567)". The record is from RNAcentral. Lineage: Eukaryota; Viridiplantae; Streptophyta; Magnoliopsida; Malpighiales; Salicaceae.